UACAGAGGUCUCGAGCGUUGUUCGGAUUCAUUGGGCGUAAAGCGUGCGCAGGCGGUUUGUUAAGUCUGCUGUGAAAUCCCCGAGCUCAACUUGGGAAUUGCAAUGGAUACUGGCAAGCUGGAGUAUGGUAGAGGAAGGUGGAAUUCCCGGUGUAGCAGUGAAAUGCGUAGAGAUCGGGAGGAACACCAGUGGCGAAGGCGGCCUUCUGGACCAAUACUGACGCUCAUGCACGAAAGCGUGGGGAGCAAACAGG
This 253-nucleotide ribosomal RNA is filed under the name uncultured bacterium. RNAcentral describes it as "partial 16S ribosomal RNA". It matches the Rfam family "Bacterial small subunit ribosomal RNA", at positions 524 to 776 of the family's 1533-position model. The record is from RNAcentral.